RNAcentral lists this ribosomal RNA (774 nucleotides) under uncultured Neocallimastigales. Its description in RNAcentral is "partial large subunit ribosomal RNA". It matches the Rfam family "Eukaryotic large subunit ribosomal RNA", at positions 24 to 649 of the family's 3401-position model. Lineage: Eukaryota; Fungi; Neocallimastigomycota; Neocallimastigomycetes; Neocallimastigales. The record is from RNAcentral.
UAUGUGAUCGUCUCUCGCAUAUCAAUAAGCGGAGGAAAAGAAACUAACAAGGAUUCCCCUAGUAACGGCGAGUGAAGCGGGAAGAGCUCAAAUUUGAAAUCUUAAAGGGUUUCCCUUUACGAAUUGUAGUUUAAAGAAGUGUUUUCUGUUGAGGUUUUGGUAAAAGUUCUUUGGAAUAGGACAUCAUAGAGGGUGAGAAUCCCGUAUUUGACCUUUACUUUCAACUUUGUGAUACACUUUCAAAGAGUCGGAUUGUUUGGGAAUGCAGUCCAAAAUGGGUGGUAAAUUUCAUCUAAAGCUAAAUAUUGGCGAGAGACCGAUAGCGAACAAGUACCGUGAGGGAAAGAUGAAAAGAACUUUGAAAAGAGAGUUAAACAGUACGUGAAAUUGUCAAAAGGGAAGCGUUUGACACCAGUGUUGUUUUUCUGAAAAUCAAUUAAAGAACUGUUUAUGCUAAGCUGUUUAGACUUUAUCAGCUAACUGUUUAGUUUUGAGCUUUUCUUUAAUGCACUUUUCAGUUAACAAGUCAACAUCAAUUUCUUUUGCUGUAAAGAAGCUUGAGGAAGGUGGCUUGAGAUUCGUCUUAAGUGUUUAUAGCCUCUUGCCUAUGCAGUCGGAGAGAUUGAGGUCUGCAGCGUAGAUCCUUCGGGGCUAAAUGCAUUUGUGCUAAGUUAUAACAUUUUAUAGACAACUUGUUGACUAUGAUUUGUCUUGUAGCUUACUCGCUUAUGUUAUUUUACCUACGCUUAGGAUGUUGAGUAGCGACAUACGCAC